This 292-nucleotide long non-coding RNA is filed under the name Prunus persica (peach). Its description in RNAcentral is "long non-coding RNA (PPER_LNC008624)". The record is from RNAcentral. Lineage: Eukaryota; Viridiplantae; Streptophyta; Magnoliopsida; Rosales; Rosaceae.
ACUAAUAAAUUAAAACCUAUUAGUUAAUUAAUUAAAUUGGGUUAAAGAGUUUAUAUAGUGAUAAUAAUUUUUAAAAAAACAACAUAAAUGUACGUACGUAUUUUUAAUGUUUCAUACACGUAAUUUUAACAAAAAUUUGAGUAAGACACACAAAAUUCACGUAUUAUACAAAUAAUUCUCACAUGUUAUUGAAUAAGAAUAACAUAUGUUAUAAAAAUUAUUAGAGUGGAAGAUUAGUAUCUACUUUGGAUAUGUUGAAACUAGCAAAUUAAUAUUUAUAAGGUACAAACUA